Magallana angulata is the source of this 262-nucleotide long non-coding RNA. RefSeq lists it as uncharacterized. The transcript has 3 exons. Lineage: Eukaryota; Metazoa; Mollusca; Bivalvia; Ostreida; Ostreidae. The record is from RefSeq and is a predicted model, not a curated record.
AUUUUCAGCUGAAUGUACAUGUGUUGCAGGGGAUGGAUCAUGUAAGCAUGUUGUUGCCCUACUGUUUGGCAUAAUAGAUCACAUCACUUCAAUGGAAGAUCGAAGUUCAAUUGGAGUUACUGAUACUGCAGCAUAUUGGGAUAAACCACGGAAAGUAUGCAGGCCAGUGCCUGUUCAUGACUUAGAUAUCAGGACUGUCGUGAAUGUACCAGAUAAACCACGACCAUCUGAAGAUUCUGGUUAUUUGCCACUUAAGUCUUCA